GAAAGAAUUGUCCAGCUGGGAGUCGCUGGAAUAUUGAUGGAAUAUCACUUCUUGCUAUUUAAUUCAUUCAUCUGGGAUAGAAAAGGCAUCUCUUGGGGAUGAUUUAGGUCAGUGGUGUCCAAGUAUUUUUAGUAUGGAGGCACAUUUUCAUCUAAAAACAUUUAUAGACCUGCAAAUAAAGGUACUCGCAUUUGAGAAAUGCAUUGAUAGAACAAAUGCUUAAUGGCAGGGGCCAUCACCUUUAAAGUAAUUUGAAUGCUGGUAAUCACAACCUUUUUAAUAUACUAUCCCAAAGUUGAGUUACUGCUUACCGUCUGCAACUCUCUGUGCCUGUCUUCACCACUGGACCAGAAAUACCUACCACAGGGGCAGAAUUGGUUUGACUUGUCCACCAUCUGUUGUAUAUUUCAGCACCCAGCACAGUUCCCAGCACAAAGUAGGCACCUUCUGUAUAUUUGUAGACUGAAUCAGUAAAUACAAUAGAAGUGUCAGAGUAUAUGUACAUGAGUCAUACUAUUUAGCCAGUCCGUAGGUACUGAUUCAUGCAAAUAUGGCGCCCCCAACUAUGGGAGCCCACAGACCGGAAACUGUGGAUUCAGAUUUACAUCUUUGCAUCCAGUAUUUUGUUCCCUUUUCCCCACAGGGAGUUUAUGUUCAGUAGACCACAACCACCUGGACAAAUGAUAACUACAGGUGGGAGCCUGUGCUUGUUGACCUCCCGAAGUCCCUUCCAAAAUGGUAGGUCCAUGAAGGGGACAGAGUGCACCGUUCAGAAAGGCUGGAACUUCCCAACACCCACGGAGAGAGGGACAUUGAUGACAGCUUCUUUCAAGAGCCAGUUUCUUACAUUUGUAGGAGCAAAAGUCGGUGGAGGGAAGCACUUUGGCCUCCAUGACUGAGAAAACAGACAUGGCAACUUGGAAGUCACCUGUCUUCUAGUUGAAAACUUCACCAUUUCUAUGAUCUUACCUGCAUGGGUCCUAGUUAACAGCACUUUACUCAUCUUCAUUUCUCCCUGCAAAUUCUCUCCAAAUUCACUAUUUGACUUUAUUGGGACCUUCACUUUGAUCUCAGCGAGGAAACAGAUGGGAUUACACGGUGUCUCCAGGAUGAAGUCAAGUAAGUCAGGCAUUGCCAAGAUUUCCACAGAAAUCUGUUCCUGGGUAGAGGUAUGUCGACCUUAACCAUAGCAGUCAUUCGCAUUUAUCCUGCAAAUGAGACAUGAGAGGCUCAUAUUGACAAUCCCCCAAUACUCAUCCCCCCAAUUUUAAUAAGCAGCGGAACCUCUGAGUUUCAUCUGGGUACGUGGACACUAGGAAUAAAAAUGAGAUCUUCCAGCCCCGCUUUGCA
RNAcentral lists this long non-coding RNA (1350 nucleotides) under Felis catus (domestic cat). RNAcentral's name for it is "lncRNA (ENSFCAG00000046484.2)". Lineage: Eukaryota; Metazoa; Chordata; Mammalia; Carnivora; Felidae. The record is from RNAcentral.